Molecule: long non-coding RNA, 1017 nt
Filed under: Canis lupus familiaris (dog)
Lineage: Eukaryota; Metazoa; Chordata; Mammalia; Carnivora; Canidae
Description: lncRNA (ENSCAFG00030020647.1)
Source: RNAcentral
CAUAUUAGGCAGUUUUCUUUAUUUUUUUCUUUUUUUCCAUAUUUUUUAUUGAAGUUCAAUUUGCCAACAUAUAGUAUAACCCCCAGUGCUCACCCCGUCAAGUGCCCCCCUCAGUGCCCGUCACCCAGUCACCCCCACCCCCCACCCUCCUCCCCUUCCACUACCCCUUGUUCGUUUCCCAGAGUUAGUCAUUUAUUUAAAUGUGAGUUGGCUGUGGCCAGCAGUCAGGGGUGGUGCGGAUCUGGUGGAAGUACUCCUCAGGCUGUGGCUAUCUACUUAAUAUUGCUGCUUCCAAACUUCGUCUCAAAGCAGGCGGUUAGAGAAAUGCAGAUUCCCGGACGACGCAGUGGCCACAGUUCCCAAGAAAAAUAGCAGCAAUGUGUGCUCCACUGCUACUUCAAUACCAGACUUGACCAAGAUGGACAAGAAGACUGAUCACAUUGAUGUUACAUCUUGAAAUAUGAAUAAAUUUGGUGGAAUGAUCAAAGGCUGGGUUUUCUAUUGCAAACCAUAUUUUAGGUGCACAAUAGGACCAUGCAGUGAAGUCCCCAAAGAGCACAACUUGUCAAGAAGUCUUGCCCUCUUGAGCAGAUCCUGGCAUUGAGGAUUAGCCAAGUUGGCUUCACCGACCUCUCUGCUGACAUUGUUUCUUUCUCCUUCACUGAAUUUGCCUUAUCUUCUGGAUAUUGCCUAGCACAAUAUCCUGCAGUGCCUUGGGGAUGCAAUUGUCAUGGAUUUAUCCUCUCCAGUUCGGGUGUGUUCCAGAUUUGAUCACUGCUUUGCUAUGACCACAAGGAAAUUAACCUAAUUACAAUAUUUAAAAACAUAAGUUGGGUCCUCUCACUGUUACUAGAGCAAAUUUCCCAAUGGCAACUUAACUGAGAAAAAAAAUCUCCUUCAUCUUGAAAAUAGGAAACUUCUAAGUAAAAAUGAAAGAAACUGGUUUUAUACCUAAAGUUCUUCUGAACUGGUCUUUAAUUAAGACCACAAUUACAUAUGGGCAUUUAAAGUACCAUU